Oreochromis aureus is the source of this 292-nucleotide long non-coding RNA. The record is from Ensembl. Lineage: Eukaryota; Metazoa; Chordata; Actinopteri; Cichliformes; Cichlidae.
GUUUUUUUUUUAGUAACGGUACAAACAGUGAAAGGCGGUGGAUUGUCCAGAUGCUGGUCGAUGUGGAAAAAAUAACUGAGUUGUUUGGUAGCUAGCUAACCCGAGCUGGCUGUCUUUUUGACUCAGGGUCAUAGCUGGACUUAUUUUUCGUUUUUAUGAGCCGAUGAGGGUUUUUUUUUUAGUAACGGUACAAACAGUGAAAGGCGGUGGAUUGUCCAGAUGCUGGUCGAUGUGGAAAAAAUAACUGAGUUGUUUGGUAGUCGCUGACGCGGAGCUACAACCGAGGGCAGCU